UACGAAGGGGGCUAGCGUUGUUCGGAUUUACUGGGCGUAAAGCGCACGUAGGCGGAUCGUUAAGUCGGUGGUGAAAUCCUGGAGCUCAACUCCAGAACUGCCUUCGAUACUGAGAGUCUCGAGUCCGGGAGAGGUGAGUGGAACUGCGAGUGUAGAGGUGAAAUUCGUAGAUAUUCGCAAGAACACCAGUGGCGAAGGCGGCUCACUGGCCCGGUACUGACGCUGAGGCGCGAAAGCUAGGGGAGCAAACAGG
Molecule: ribosomal RNA, 253 nt
Filed under: uncultured bacterium
Lineage: Bacteria
Description: partial 16S ribosomal RNA
Rfam family: Bacterial small subunit ribosomal RNA
Source: RNAcentral